GUUGAGCGCUGAAGGCUGGUACUUGUACCGACUGGAUGAGCAGCGAACGGGUGAGUAACGCGUGGGGAAUCUGCCUUUGAGCGGGGGACAACAUUUGGAAACGAAUGCUAAUACCGCAUAAAAACUUUAAACACAAGUUUUAAGUUUGAAAGAUGCAAUUGCAUCACUCAAAGAUGAUCCCGCGUUGUAUUAGCUAGUUGGUGAGGUAAAGGCUCACCAAGGCGAUGAUACAUAGCCGACCUGAGAGGGUGAUCGGCCACAUUGGGACUGAGACACGGCCCAAACUCCUACGGGAGGCAGCAGUAGGGAAUCUUCGGCAAUGGACGAAAGUCUGACCGAGCAACGCCGCGUGAGUGAAGAAGGUUUUCGGAUCGUAAAACUCUGUUGGUAGAGAAGAACGUUGGUGAGAGUGGAAAGCUCAUCAAGUGACGGUAACUACCCAGAAAGGGACGGCUAACUACGUGCCAGCAGCCGCGGUAAUACGUAGGUCCCGAGCGUUGUCCGGAUUUAUUGGGCGUAAAGCGAGCGCAGGUGGUUUAUUAAGUCUGGUGUAAAAGGCAGUGGCUCAACCAUUGUAUGCAUUGGAAACUGGUAGACUUGAGUGCAGGAGAGGAGAGUGGAAUUCCAUGUGUAGCGGUGAAAUGCGUAGAUAUAUGGAGGAACACCGGUGGCGAAAGCGGCUCUCUGGCCUGUAACUGACACUGAGGCUCGAAAGCGUGGGGAGCAAACAGGAUUAGAUACCCUGGUAGUCCACGCCGUAAACGAUGAGUGCUAGAUGUAGGGAGCUAUAAGUUCUCUGUAUCGCAGCUAACGCAAUAAGCACUCCGCCUGGGGAGUACGACCGCAAGGUUGAAACUCAAAGGAAUUGACGGGGGCCCGCACAAGCGGUGGARCAUGUGGUUUAAUUCGAAGCAACGCGAAGAACCUUACCAGGUCUUGACAUACUCGUGCUAUUCCUAGAGAUAGGAAGUUCCUUCGGGACACGGGAUACAGGUGGUGCAUGGUUGUCGUCAGCUCGUGUCGUGAGAUGUUGGGUUAAGUCCCGCAACGAGCGCAACCCCUAUUGUUAGUUGCCAUCAUUAAGUUGGGCACUCUAACGAGACUGCCGGUGAUAAACCGGAGGAAGGUGGGGAUGACGUCAAAUCAUCAUGCCCCUUAUGACCUGGGCUACACACGUGCUACAAUGGAUGGUACAACGAGUCGCGAGACAGUGAUGUUUAGCUAAUCUCUUAAAACCAUUCUCAGUUCGGAUUGUAGGCUGCAACUCGCCUACAUGAAGUCGGAAUCGCUAGUAAUCGCGGAUCAGCACGCCGCGGUGAAUACGUUCCCGGGCCUUGUACACACCGCCCGUCACACCACGGGAGUUGGGAGUACCCGAAGUAGGUUGCCUAACCGCAAGGAGGGCGCUCGU
This 1411-nucleotide ribosomal RNA is filed under the name Lactococcus sp. RNAcentral describes it as "bacterial SSU rRNA". Lineage: Bacteria; Bacillati; Bacillota; Bacilli; Lactobacillales; Streptococcaceae. The record is from RNAcentral.